RNAcentral lists this ribosomal RNA (915 nucleotides) under Triticum aestivum (bread wheat). Its description in RNAcentral is "partial small subunit ribosomal RNA". The record is from RNAcentral. Lineage: Eukaryota; Viridiplantae; Streptophyta; Magnoliopsida; Poales; Poaceae.
AUGGCGGCCACCGGCACCAAGCAGCAGCAGCCGACGGCAACGCCGGUGGCGACGGUGGUGGACCCCAAGUUCGAGUGGGCAGAGAAGGAGGACAGCUACGUGCUCCGCCUCACCCUGACGGGCUUCAGGAAGGAGGACUUCCGGGUGCAGGUGGACGGCACCGGGAAGCUCACCGUGCGAGGGGCGACCAGGCCGGGCGCCGGCGGGCCUGGCUCCGCCCUCUACAGGGUCUUCCAGCUGCCCGCAACAGCCAGCCUCGAGGACAUCGCUGGCCGCUUCGAGGCCGGCGUGCUCACGCUCACCGUGCCCAAGCUCGCCUCUUCCGGUGCCGGUGUGGCCAAGGAGGAGAGACUCAGCGACACCGUCCAGAAAAAGGAAGCCACCGAUGGAGCCGUGAAGGAGAGCACGCUCAGCCGGACGACUCGGCAGGUCGCCGAGCGCGUUCAGCGCAUGGAAGAGGAGGCCAACAGACGCAAGCAAGAGGAAGAGAAGAAGCCAGCGCCGGCGGCGAAGAAGGACCAGCACCCGAGGCCCAAGGCUCCUCAAGCGGCGGCAGCAGCUGCGGCGACACCCGAGAAGCAAGAGCCUGCCAUCGGCGAGAAGGACAAGGCGGCAGUUGACCGGGAGAGCCUGGAGGACAGGGUUAGGCUGUGCGGCGACGGUGAAGAAGUGAGGGCCAAGGCAGCUGCCACGCCGACAGCCAUGGACGCGAAAGCGGAGCACGAGAAGAAGGCGGCGGCGGCGACAUGCACCGCCUGGAAGGAGCGCAUUGUAGGGGAGCUGAAGGGUCUGACAGACAUGAAGUGGGCGGACAACACAUUGGAGAUUGCGAGGAAGAACAAGGAGGUGGUCGCCGUCGGCGUCGCCGCCUUCUCGCUCGGCUUCUUCGUCUCCCAGCGGCUCUUCGGUAAGUGA